UACAGGGGGUGCGAGCGUUAAUCGGAAUUACUGGGCGUAAAGCGUGCGUAGACGGUUACGUAAGUCGGAUGUGAAAGCCCCGGGCUCAACCUGGGAAUCGCAUUCGAGACUGCGUAGCUAGGAUGCGGAAGAGGGAAGCGGAAUUUCCGGUGUAGCGGUGAAAUGCGUAGAUAUCGGAAGGAACACCAGUGGCGAAAGCGGCUUCCUGGUCCAGCAUCGACGUUCAGGCACGAAAGCGUGGGGAGCAAACAGG
This 253-nucleotide ribosomal RNA is filed under the name uncultured bacterium. RNAcentral describes it as "partial 16S ribosomal RNA". It matches the Rfam family "Bacterial small subunit ribosomal RNA", at positions 524 to 776 of the family's 1533-position model. The record is from RNAcentral.